UGGGGAAUUUUGGACAAUGGGGGAAACCCUGAUCCAGCCAUCCCGCGUGUGCGAUGAAGGCCUUCGGGUUGUAAAGCACUUUUGGCAGGAAAGAAACGUCAUGGGUUAAUACCCCGUGACACUGACGGUACCUGCAGAAUAAGCACCGGCUAACUACGUGCCAGCAGCCGCGGUAAUACGUAGGGUGCAAGCGUUAAUCGGAAUUACUGGGCGUAAAGCGUGCGCAGGCGGUUCGGAAAGAAAGAUGUGAAAUCCCAGAGCUCAACUUUGGAACUGCAUUUUUAACUACCGGGCUAGAGUGUGUCAGAGGGAGGUGGAAUUCCGCGUGUAGCAGUGAAAUGCGUAGAUAUGCGGAGGAACACCGAUGGCGAAGGCAGCCUCCUGGGAUAACACUGACGCUCAUGCACGAAAGCGUGGGGAGCAAACAGG
RNAcentral lists this ribosomal RNA (429 nucleotides) under Acidobacteriota bacterium. RNAcentral describes it as "Acidobacteria bacterium partial 16S ribosomal RNA". It matches the Rfam family "Bacterial small subunit ribosomal RNA", at positions 355 to 776 of the family's 1533-position model. Lineage: Bacteria; Pseudomonadati; Acidobacteriota. The record is from RNAcentral.